AUGUUCACCGACAUGGAUGGUGAGCAGCUGUGUUUGCUGCUUGCACCAGUGUUCAGGGAGUAUCUGUCACCGCACUUGAAACAGAGCCCGUGUGCUCUUCUGUGGUCGUGCAAUUGCCGUUCGCGCGUGAAGUCGUCCGCCCCCGCGGUCGGUCGAGGGGCGGCCAGCUGUCGCGCCGGUGGUGGCGCCGGCUGCGGCGGUGGUCUUCCCGGAGGAGUGAUGCGUGGCUGCGCCCGAUGCAUCUCCGUUUCUUCCUCUUGGAUCCUGGCGAGCACCGAGGCACGCGUGAUGCUGGUGGGCGCCUAUAGACGUACUACAGCCCGCAAAUCAUCCCGGAGGCCGAGCAAAAACUGCAUGAUGAAGAACUUGGUGCUCAAGGUUGCGUCCAGAGCCAACAGGUGGUACAUGUGCGCCUCGAACGCGAGCCGAUAG
RNAcentral lists this ribosomal RNA (432 nucleotides) under Triticum aestivum (bread wheat). RNAcentral describes it as "partial small subunit ribosomal RNA". Lineage: Eukaryota; Viridiplantae; Streptophyta; Magnoliopsida; Poales; Poaceae. The record is from RNAcentral.